RNAcentral lists this ribosomal RNA (1343 nucleotides) under uncultured bacterium. RNAcentral describes it as "16S ribosomal RNA". It matches the Rfam family "Bacterial small subunit ribosomal RNA", at positions 28 to 1378 of the family's 1533-position model. The record is from RNAcentral.
GACGAACGCUGGCGGCGUGCUUAACACAUGCAAGUCGAACGGAAAGGCCCUGCUUUUGUGGGGUGCUCGAGUGGCGAACGGGUGAGUAACACGUGAGUAACCUGCCCUUGACUUUGGGAUAACUUCAGGAAACUGGGGCUAAUACCGGAUAGGAGCUCCUGCUGCAUGGUGGGGGUUGGAAAGUUUCGGCGGUUGGGGAUGGACUCGCGGCUUAUCAGCUUGUUGGUGGGGUAGUGGCUUACCAAGGCUUUGACGGGUAGCCGGCCUGAGAGGGUGACCGGCCACAUUGGGACUGAGAUACGGCCCAGACUCCUACGGGAGGCAGCAGUGGGGAAUAUUGCACAAUGGGCGGAAGCCUGAUGCAGCAACGCCGCGUGCGGGAUGACGGCCUUCGGGUUGUAAACCGCUUUCGCCUGUGACGAAGCGUGAGUGACGGUAAUGGGUAAAGAAGCACCGGCUAACUACGUGCCAGCAGCCGCGGUGAUACGUAGGGUGCGAGCGUUGUCCGGAUUUAUUGGGCGUAAAGGGCUCGUAGGUGGUUGAUCGCGUCGGAAGUGUAAUCUUGGGGCUUAACCCUGAGCGUGCUUUCGAUACGGGUUGACUUGAGGAAGGUAGGGGAGAAUGGAAUUCCUGGUGGAGCGGUGGAAUGCGCAGAUAUCAGGAGGAACACCAGUGGCGAAGGCGGUUCUCUGGGCCUUUCCUGACGCUGAGGAGCGAAAGCGUGGGGAGCGAACAGGCUUAGAUACCCUGGUAGUCCACGCUGUAAACGGUGGGUACUAGGUGUGGGGUCCAUUCCACGGGUUCCGUGCCGUAGCUAACGCUUUAAGUACCCCGCCUGGGGAGUACGGCCGCAAGGCUAAAACUCAAAGGAAUUGACGGGGCCCCGCACAAGCGGCGGAGCAUGCGGAUUAAUUCGAUGCAACGCGUAGAACCUUACCUGGGUUUGACAUGGAUCGGGAGCGCUCAGAGAUGGGUGUGCCUCUUUUGGGGUCGGUUCACAGGUGGUGCAUGGCUGUCGUCAGCUCGUGUCGUGAGAUGUUGGGUUAAGCCUCGCAACGAGCGCAACCCUUGUUCACUGUUGCCAGCACGUUAUGGUGGGGACUCAGUGGAGACCGCCGGGGUCAACUCGGAGGAAGGUGGGGAUGACGUCAAGUCAUCAUGCCCCUUAUGUCCAGGGCUUCACGCAUGCUACAAUGGCUGGUACAGAGAGUGGCGAGCCUGUGAGGGUGAGCGAAUCUCGGAAAGCCGGUCUCAGUUCGGAUUGGGGUCUGCAACUCGACCUCAUGAAGUCGGAGUCGCUAGUAAUCGCAGAUCAGCAACGCUGCGGUGAAUACGUUCCCGGG